Molecule: ribosomal RNA, 850 nt
Filed under: Moraxella sp.
Lineage: Bacteria; Pseudomonadati; Pseudomonadota; Gammaproteobacteria; Moraxellales; Moraxellaceae
Description: bacterial SSU rRNA
Rfam family: Bacterial small subunit ribosomal RNA
Source: RNAcentral
UGCAAGUCGAACGAUGACUCUCUAGCUUGCUAGAGAUGAUUAGUGGCGGACGGGUGAGUAACAUUUAGGAAUCUACCUAGUAGUGGGGGAUAGCUCGGGGAAACUCGAAUUAAUACCGCAUACGACCUACGGGUGAAAGGGGGCGCAAGCUCUUGCUAUUAGAUGAGCCUAAAUCAGAUUAGCUAGUUGGUGGGGUAAAGGCCCACCAAGGCGACGAUCUGUAACUGGUCUGAGAGGAUGAUCAGUCACACCGGAACUGAGACACGGUCCGGACUCCUACGGGAGGCAGCAGUGGGGAAUAUUGGACAAUGGGGGCAACCCUGAUCCAGCCAUGCCGCGUGUGUGAAGAAGGCCUUUUGGUUGUAAAGCACUUUAAGCAGGGAGGAGAGGCUAAUGGUUAAUACCCAUUAGAUUAGACGUUACCUGCAGAAUAAGCACCGGCUAACUCUGUGCCAGCAGCCGCGGUAAUACAGAGGGUGCGAGCGUUAAUCGGAAUUACUGGGCGUAAAGCGAGUGUAGGUGGCUCAUUAAGUCACAUGUGAAAUCCCCGGGCUUAACCUGGGAACUGCAUGUGAUACUGGUGGUGCUAGAAUAUGUGAGAGGGAAGUAGAAUUCCAGGUGUAGCGGUGAAAUGCGUAGAGAUCUGGAGGAAUACCGAUGGCGAAGGCAGCUUCCUGGCAUGAUAUUGACACUGAGAUUCGAAAGCGUGGGUAGCAAACAGGAUUAGAUACCCUGGUAGUCCACGCCGUAAACGAUGUCUACUAGCCGUUGGGGUCCUUGAGACUUUAGUGGCGCAGUUAACGCGAUAAGUAGACCGCCUGGGGAGUACGGCCGCAAGGUUAAAACUCAA